Molecule: RNA transcript, 1338 nt
Organism: Vicia villosa (hairy vetch)
Lineage: Eukaryota; Viridiplantae; Streptophyta; Magnoliopsida; Fabales; Fabaceae
Exons: 9
Source: RefSeq, a predicted model, not a curated record
AUUUUUCUUCCUAAAGAAAAACAAAAUCCAUCUUCCCUGUUUCCUUGGCAACACCAAAACCCUGCUGCUUAUGAACCCAAACGACGUCGUAGUGCUGAACAUGGAAGAAAGAGGAAACAAAGUAGUAGUGCAAAACGAACAACCCCGAGUUUGUAACGAUGAAGACGAAAUCGUUUGCUUAGAUGCAUCGUUCUUCAUGAAUGACAAUUACCAGUUGACGGAAUUCACAUUUGGCUCUCAACAUAUCCACCUCUUCUGUCUUCAUUCCGCCUCCACUGACUUUGAUUUGACAGGGCAGCUGGUAUGGCCUGGAGCCAUGUUGCUGAAUGAUUAUCUAUCCAAAAAUCUCGACAUGUUUCAGGGUUGCACUGUCAUUGAAUUAGGUUCUGGUGUUGGUAUUACUGGAAUACUUUGCCGCAAAUUCUGCGAUAAAGUUGUGUUGACCGACCACAACGAAGAGGUGCUUAAGAUCAUAAAUAAAAAUAUAGAGCUGCAUUCAUCUCCUCAAGAUAUUAGUCCUACUUCUCAUGGAUUAGUAGCAGAGAAACUAGAAUGGGGGAACACUGAUCAGGUCCAUGAAAUUUUACAAAAACAUCCUGGAGGUUUCGACUUCGUUCUUGGAGCUGAUAUAAGCUUUCAGCAGGCAAAUAUCCCUUUGCUGUUUGAUACUGUUAGACAGCUCCUGCAAGUUAAAGAAGGCGGAAAAUGCAAGUUCAUACUAGCCUAUGUAUCACGAGCAAAGAUUUGUGGAUUGCAGCUUCCCAUGUCACCUGCUUUAUCCCUAGCAAGUCUCAGUUUUUGCUGACAGGAUGCCUCAUAAAGAUAGAGUAAAUAAUCUUUUUAAUCCGCGAAGUUGUAGGGAUGGAUUCAAUGAUUAUUUCUGAAGCUUCUAAGUUUCGGAUGCAAAUGAAGGAAGUACCUGGAACAAAGUGUAUUGUUGGAAAUCUUGAAGGUGUCAUCUAUGAGAUCACUCUCGAGUAGAUGGAUCAAACUGAUAUAGUUUAAGGUUUGAAGCAGACAUGGCAUUAUGAAAACCUGAACUGAUUUGACUUGAGCACUGGCUAGUAUUUUUGUUCAACCCCUCCCCUGUCAAUCUUUGUUAACAACUUAGUGAAGAUAAUUCAGAAAAUCCAAUGGUUUGGUGUGGAAAAGAAGAUAUAAAAUAUACAAGAGAACCUAUUUUUGUAGUGUCUAUCUUGCUUAGUAUUUUUCAUUGUGAACAAAAACAUAAACAAGAACUGAAGAUUUUCAAGACAAUUUGAUUGGCUUUAUAUGCCAACUGUUCUUUCGACUGAUUGACUAUGAUGAUGAAUGGUAACUGCGUAUUUUAUUAUUUUA